Molecule: ribosomal RNA, 484 nt
Filed under: uncultured bacterium
Lineage: Bacteria
Description: partial 16S ribosomal RNA
Rfam family: Bacterial small subunit ribosomal RNA
Source: RNAcentral
GAUUAACGCUAGCGGCAGGCAUAAUACAUGCAAGUUGAACGGCAGCACAGGUAGCACUCCUGGGUGGCGAGUGGCGCACGGGUGCGUAACACGUAUGCAACCUACCCUAUACAGGCGAAUAACCUUUAGAAAUGAGGGCUAAUACGCCGUAGUAUUACAGAUGGGCAUCUAUUUGUAAUUAAAGAUUUAUCGGUAUAGGAUGGGCAUGCGUCCCAUUAGUUAGUUGGUAAGGUAACGGCUUACCAAGACGAUGAUGGGUAGGGGAUCUGAGAGGACUUACCCCCACACUGGUACUGAGACACGGACCAGACUCCUACGGGAGGCAGCAGUAAGGAAUAUUGGGCAAUGGCCGCGAGGCUGACCCAGCCAUGCCGCGUGCAGGAAGACGGCCUUAUGGGUUGUAAACUGCUUUUAUACGGGAAUAAUAGAGUGUACGCGUACAUUUAUGCAAGUAUCGUAUGAAUAAGCAUCGGCUAACUCCGUG